Equus caballus (horse) is the source of this 535-nucleotide non-coding RNA. The record is from RefSeq and is a predicted model, not a curated record. Lineage: Eukaryota; Metazoa; Chordata; Mammalia; Perissodactyla; Equidae.
AAGGGUUUAGAGUUCAGCUAAUCCUGAAGACAAGCCUUUCUUAGAAAUGUCCAGAGUUAGAGUAGCCCAGGCCCGCUAAAUUAAUCCUUUCCUGCACAGAUUUGUAGAAAUUAUUUAUGUAUUAUAGAUUAGAGUCCAUUUCACUUAUAUGUGUUGUAAUUAUUAUCUCCCGCUAUCUGACUGGCUUUUUAUUAUCUUAACUGUUUUGAUAUACCUGAAACUGAUGACUGUGUGGUGUGAGGGGCGUGUUUGGCCAUGCACAAAUCAGUACCAGAGCAAGAACAAGACUGGACCAAGAAUCAUACAUAAUUGGGAAGUAAAUUAGAAAAAGAAGUAGAAAGCAGAGGGGUGAGGGGAAAAGAGAAAGAGAAAACUCUAUUGCUACACAAGAAUCACCUUGGAAACUAAGAAAGUCUUGCCUUGGGACAAGGGACCGGUGGAAGAUUCACUUGAUAUACUGCAGCUUUGUCAACGAUGGUAGUGUUACUGAACCUGAAGUGAGUUCGCUCACCCGUUGCACAGCAAGCCAAUCUCU